CAGCAGUGGGGAAUAUUGCACAAUGGGGGAAACCCUGAUGCAGCGACGCCGCGUGAGUGAAGAAGUAUUUCGGUAUGUAAAGCUCUAUCAGCAGGGAAGAAGAAAGACGGUACCUGACUAAGAAGCCCCGGCUAACUACGUGCCAGCAGCCGCGGUAAUACGUAGGGGGCAAGCGUUAUCCGGAUUUACUGGGUGUAAAGGGAGCGUAGACGGCUGUGCAAGUCUGAAGUGAAAGCCCAGGGCUCAACCCUGGGACUGCUUUGGAAACUGUGGAGCUAGAGUGCUGGAGAGGUAAGUGGAAUUCCUAGUGUAGCGGUGAAAUGCGUAGAUAUUAGGAGGAACACCAGUGGCGAAGGCGGCUUACUGGACAGUAACUGACGUUGAGGCUCGAAAGCGUGGGGAGCAAACAGGAUUAGA
RNAcentral lists this ribosomal RNA (417 nucleotides) under uncultured Clostridium sp. RNAcentral describes it as "bacterial SSU rRNA". It matches the Rfam family "Bacterial small subunit ribosomal RNA", at positions 349 to 782 of the family's 1533-position model. The record is from RNAcentral. Lineage: Bacteria; Bacillati; Bacillota; Clostridia; Eubacteriales; Clostridiaceae.